This 492-nucleotide ribosomal RNA is filed under the name uncultured bacterium. Its description in RNAcentral is "partial 16S ribosomal RNA". It matches the Rfam family "Bacterial small subunit ribosomal RNA", at positions 29 to 507 of the family's 1533-position model. The record is from RNAcentral.
AGUGAACGCUGGCGGUAGGCCUAACACAUGCAAGUCGAACGGCAGCACAGUAAGAGCUUGCUCUUACGGGUGGCGAGUGGCGGACGGGUGAGGAAUACAUCGGAAUCUACUUUUUCGUGGGGGAUAACGUAGGGAAACUUACGCUAAUACCGCAUACGACCUACGGGUGAAAGCAGGGGAUCUUCGGACCUUGCGCGAUUGAAUGAGCCGAUGUCGGAUUAGCUAGUUGGCGGGGUAAAGGCCCACCAAGGCGACGAUCCGUAGCUGGUCUGAGAGGAUGAUCAGCCACACUGGAACUGAGACACGGUCCAGACUCCUACGGGAGGCAGCAGUGGGGAAUAUUGGACAAUGGGGGCAAGCCUGAUACAGCCAUACCGCGUGGGUGAAGAAGGCCUUCGGGUUUUAAAGCCCUUUUGUUGGGAAAGAAAAGCAGCAGGUUAAUACCCCGCUGUUCUGACGGUACCCAAAGAAUAAGCACCGGCUAACUUCGUG